RNAcentral lists this ribosomal RNA (460 nucleotides) under uncultured bacterium. Its description in RNAcentral is "partial 16S ribosomal RNA". It matches the Rfam family "Bacterial small subunit ribosomal RNA", at positions 338 to 795 of the family's 1533-position model. The record is from RNAcentral.
CCUACGGGGGGCAGCAGUGAGGAAUAUUGGUCAAUGGACGCUAGUCUGAACCAGCCAAGUAGCGUGAAGGAUGACUGCCCUAUGGGUUGUCAACUUCUUUUAUAAAGGAAUAAAGCGCAGUACGUAUACCUUUUUGCAUGUACUUUAUGAAUAAGGAUCGGCUAACUCCGUGCCAGCAGCCGCGGUAAUACGGAGGAUCCGAGCGUUAUCCGGAUUUAUUGGGUUUAAAGGGAGCGUAGAUGGGUUGUUAAGUCAGUUGUGAAAGUUUGCGGCUCAACCGUAAAAUUGCAGUUGAUACUGGCAUCCCUGAGUACAGUAGAGGUAGGCGGAAUUCGUGGUGUAGCGGUGGAAUGCUUAGAUAUCACGAAGAACUCCGAUUGCGAAGGCAGCUUACUAGACUGUAACUGACAUUGAUGCUCGAAAGUGUGGGUAUCAAACAGGAUUAGAUACCCGAGUAGUC